This 580-nucleotide long non-coding RNA is filed under the name Homo sapiens (human). Its description in RNAcentral is "HSALNT0295187". Lineage: Eukaryota; Metazoa; Chordata; Mammalia; Primates; Hominidae. The record is from RNAcentral.
AAUUCUCCUGCUUCAUCAUCCUAAGAGAGCCUAGGACUACAGUUUCAGAUCUGCCACCAUCUAGCCGUGUGACCUUGGACAAGCCUCUUCAGUUCUCUGUAUUCUCCUCAGUUGUAAAAUGAAGGACUAAACUAUUCAAAUCAGUUCCAUAAGCAUUCAUCAGGCACCUUCUCGGAGUAAGACAUCAUGCUCAGCCACCUAUAAAAUUCUAUGAUCCUGAAUAGUAUCAAUGGGAAAAUAUCAGAGCAAAGCAAAAUAGUCUGUUUGUGGCAAGGUUGAAGAGAGAACCCAAAUAGCCGACUGCAUUACCUCAUCUCAAUGAGCAAUGUUUGUAAAUAUCCAAAGUGUUUAAUUUUGAGACACUCUUGAGAAAUCCUUUGCCAAUAAGAAAUUGGCAGAUAUGGUUCUAUUAACACCUAUCAGCCUUGAACCUUCCAAAAAUUAAACAUUUAAAGUCACUUUGCACCUUAGUCAAAUGGCGUGCUUCUGGAGAGAAAUCUGGGAAGAUCAAAGUUAUUAACACUCCCGAUGGCAACAGUUUAAGAAUAGGAUGUGUUAAAAAAAAAAAAAAAAAAAAAAA